Molecule: ribosomal RNA, 500 nt
Filed under: uncultured bacterium
Lineage: Bacteria
Description: partial 16S ribosomal RNA
Rfam family: Bacterial small subunit ribosomal RNA
Source: RNAcentral
AUUGAACGCUGGCGGAAUGCCUUACACAUGCAAGUCGAACGGCAGCACGGACUUCGGUCUGGUGGCGAGUGGCGAACGGGUGAGUAAUGUAUCGGAACGUGCCCAGUCGUGGGGGAUAACGUAGUGAAAAUUACGCUAAUACCGCAUACGAUCUAUGGAUGAAAGCGGGGGAUCGCAAGACCUCGCGCGAUUGGAGCGGCCGAUAUCAGAUUAGGUAGUUGGUGGGGUAAAGGCCCACCAAGCCAACGAUCUGUAGCUGGUCUGAGAGGAAGACCAGCCACACUGGAACUGAGACACGGUCCAGACUCCUACGGGAGGCAGCAGUGGGGAAUUUUGGACAAUGGGCGAAAGCCUGAUCCAGCCAUUCCGCGUGCAGGAUGGAGGCCCUCGGGUUGUAAACUGCUUUUGUACAGAACGAAAAGGUUUCUACUAAUACUAGGAGCUCAUGACGGUACUGUAAGAAUAAGCACCGGCUAACUACGUGCCAGCCGCCGCGGUAA